CGGGGCGUGGCGCAGUCUGGUAGCGCAUCUGGUUUGGGACCAGAGGGUCGGAGGUUCAAAUCCUCUCGCCCCGACCA
This 77-nucleotide transfer RNA is filed under the name Gammaproteobacteria bacterium. Its description in RNAcentral is "tRNA-Pro". It matches the Rfam family "tRNA". Rfam says of the family: Transfer RNA (tRNA) molecules are approximately 80 nucleotides in length. Their secondary structure includes four short double-helical elements and three loops (D, anti-codon, and T loops). The record is from RNAcentral. Lineage: Bacteria; Pseudomonadati; Pseudomonadota; Gammaproteobacteria. RNAcentral also lists the same sequence under 3 other names.